This 819-nucleotide long non-coding RNA is filed under the name Vulpes vulpes (red fox). Its description in RNAcentral is "lncRNA (ENSVVUG00000003292.1)". The record is from RNAcentral. Lineage: Eukaryota; Metazoa; Chordata; Mammalia; Carnivora; Canidae.
CCUAGGUGUCACCUAGAUUAGGAUGACUGAUAUAGUACUUGAAGUUAUUAUGAAUAACAAAUAAGAUAACAUUAACCAGUUUCUAGAAGUGUGUCUGAAACACAAUGUGGAUUUAAUAAAAUGCAUUAGGAUGAAGAGUCCUAGGAACUCUUUGGAGACAUGGUACAAAGUCGAAGAGAAGUGCAUGAAAAGACACCAGGAGUUGGAGAAGACAUUAGUUGCUGGACUCAGAGUAUGAGUACAGUCAUGUAGGGCUCCUUAGGAAUUAGGAGAGUACCAAGGAGGAGAUUCAGUUUCUUUUCUAGAUUACAAGAAACCCCCACAACUUCCCAUUGAUACUGUUGCUGAGAACAAAUUGCCAGUAAGAUGAUAUCUACAGAGCAAGGUGUAGGAGUUCUACAUUUGUGCGUAAGCCCAAUUAUACACAGAACUGUGAAUGAUCUAAACUUGGCAAGAGAAAUAAGGUAUCAUUUUACUACCAGCUGCGCACUCCAUGAAGGCAAGAAGUUCUCAUUCUGUCUGAAUGCUGAUUGGCUUCAGUUUAUAAAGAACCCGUUCCCCUGAAGCUGACUUAUUUACCCUUUUAUUUCUUUUCCUAUAAGCCUAUGUUAAACAAAAACUUGCUUGUCACUAGACAUCUUUUGGCUCACAUGAAAAUCACAGAGCAGAAGUGGAGAGAACUACUUUCUUGAUUAAGCAGUUAGAUCAUUUUUCUUAAAAGUGUCUAGGACUGCAUAUGGUCCAGUGCAUCUUUUCCUCCACAAUGGCCUCCAAAACCCUCCUCAGAAUAAAGUCCUUACUUUCUCAGAUAUCUUUUCA